Molecule: long non-coding RNA, 673 nt
Organism: Capra hircus (goat)
Lineage: Eukaryota; Metazoa; Chordata; Mammalia; Artiodactyla; Bovidae
Exons: 3
Source: RefSeq, a predicted model, not a curated record
AUGGACAGGGAGGCCUGGUGUGCUGCAAUUUAUGGGGUCGCAAAGAGUCGGACACGACUGAGCGACUGAACUGAACUGAAUAAUACCUUACUACAGGAGGAGUAUUCGUAGAUCUAAUUUGUCUCCUUUAAGCUCCUUGAAGCCCAAACAAAAAGGACUGAUUUAACUCAACAGUCUUGGCAAGCUGGGACAAUUUCAGAUGUAUGGUAGGAACUUCAGAGUUUUUGUUGGAAUUAAUAAGUUAAUACACCAUCUGGGUUUUCCUAUCACAAUACCACUUCUAUCUAUAAAGUAAACCACAAAACAAUGUGUAGAUUGGCAGCCUGUAUAAUAUUUAUGGUAAACAUAUUAAGAAUUAUUUUGCAUAUCUUUCAUGUCACUCAGUACUGAUCUCUUUGGUUUGAAUAGAAGUGCGCUGGCCAAGGACCCAUGUCAUUCAAGGACAUGACUGUGGACUUCACCCGGAAUGAGUGGUGACAACUGACAGGACUCUAUACUGGGAUGUGAUGCUGGAGAGCUAUAGCCACCUGGUCUCUGUGGGGUACUGCAUUGCCAGACCAGAGGUGAUCAUCAAGCAGGAGCAAGGAGAAGAGCUGUGGCCACUAAAACUCCCAGGCUGGAGUGGUUCCAACAAAGGCCGCUCAGUCGUGUCCAGCUGUUUGCAACCCCGCUG